RNAcentral lists this non-coding RNA (67 nucleotides) under Lacrimispora saccharolytica. Lineage: Bacteria; Bacillati; Bacillota; Clostridia; Lachnospirales; Lachnospiraceae. RNAcentral also lists the same sequence under 2 other names. The record is from RNAcentral.
AGUCGAAACGGAGCACCGGCUCCGUCAUGCAGGGAUAGCCUCCUGCAUCUGAUGAUGACAGGCUAUA